This 439-nucleotide ribosomal RNA is filed under the name uncultured bacterium. RNAcentral describes it as "bacterial SSU rRNA". It matches the Rfam family "Bacterial small subunit ribosomal RNA", at positions 351 to 782 of the family's 1533-position model. The record is from RNAcentral.
GCAGUGGGGAAUAUUGGACAAUGGGCGAAAGCCUGAUCCAGCCAUGCCGCGUGUGUGAAGAAGGUCUUCGGAUUGUAAAGCACUUUAAGUUGGGAGGAAGGGUUGUAGAUUAAUACUCUGCAAUUUUGACGUUACCGACAGAAUAAGCACCGGCUAACUCUGUGCCAGCAGCCGCGGUAAUACAGAGGGUGCAAGCGUUAAUCGGAAUUACUGGGCGUAAAGCGCGCGUAGGUGGUUUGUUAAGUUGGAUGUGAAAUCCCCGGGCUCAACCUGGGAACUGCAUUCAAAACUGACUGACUAGAGUAUGGUAGAGGGUGGUGGAAUUUCCUGUGUAGCGGUGAAAUGCGUAGAUAUAGGAAGGAACACCAGUGGCGAAGGCGACCACCUGGACUAAUACUGACACUGAGGUGCGAAAGCGUGGGGAGCAAACAGGAUUAGA